RNAcentral lists this ribosomal RNA (445 nucleotides) under uncultured bacterium. Its description in RNAcentral is "partial 16S ribosomal RNA". It matches the Rfam family "Bacterial small subunit ribosomal RNA", at positions 354 to 796 of the family's 1533-position model. The record is from RNAcentral.
GUGAGGAAUAUUGCGCAAUGGAGGCAACUCUGACGCAGCCAUGCCGCGUGCAGGAAGAAGGCGCUACGCGUUGUAAACUGCUUUUAACCGGGAAGAAACCCCAGGACGUGUCCUGGGUUGACGGUACCGGAGGAAUAAGCACCGGCUAACUUCGUGCCAGCAGCCGCGGUAAUACGAAGGGUGCAAGCGUUAUCCGGAUUCAUUGGGUUUAAAGGGUGCGUAGGCGGAGCGUUAAGUCAGUGGUGAAAUCCUGCAGCUUAACUGUAGACUUGCCAGUGAUACUGGCGCUCUUGAGUGCGCUUGAAGUGGGCGGAAUGUGCCGUGUAGCGGUGAAAUGCUUAGAUAUGGUACAGAACACCAAUUGCGAAGGCAGCUCACUAAGGCGAUACUGACGCUGAGGCACGAAAGCGUGGGGAUCGAACAGGAUUAGAUACCCUUGUAGUCC